GACGAACGCUGGCGGCGUGCUUAACACAUGCAAGUCGAACGGAAAGGCCCUGCUUUUGUGGGGUGCUCGAGUGGCGAACGGGUGAGUAACACGUGAGUAACCUGCCCUUGACUUUGGGAUAACUUCAGGAAACUGGGGCUAAUACCGGAUAGGAGCUCCUGCUGCAUGGUGGGGGUUGGAAAGUUUCGGCGGGUGGGGAUGGACUCGCGGCUUAUCAGCUUGUUGGUGGGGGAGUGGCUUACCAAGGCUUUGACGGGUAGCCGGCAUGAGAGGGUGACCGGGCACAUUGGGACUGAGAUACGGCCCAGACUGCUACGGGAGGCAGCAGUGGGGAAUAUUGCACAAUGGGCGGAAGUCUGAUGCAGCAACGCCGCGUGCGGGAUGACGGCCUUCGGGUUGUAAACCGCUUUCGCCUGUGACGCAGCGUGAGUGACGGUAAUGGGUAAAGAAGCACCGGCUAACUACGUG
Molecule: ribosomal RNA, 468 nt
Filed under: uncultured bacterium
Lineage: Bacteria
Description: partial 16S ribosomal RNA
Rfam family: Bacterial small subunit ribosomal RNA
Source: RNAcentral